RNAcentral lists this ribosomal RNA (433 nucleotides) under uncultured bacterium. RNAcentral describes it as "partial 16S ribosomal RNA". It matches the Rfam family "Bacterial small subunit ribosomal RNA", at positions 29 to 507 of the family's 1533-position model. The record is from RNAcentral.
AACGAACGCUGGCGGCAUGCCUAAUACAUGCAAGUCGAACGAGAUCUUCGGAUCUAGUGGCGCACGGGUGCGUAACGCGUGGGAAUCUGCCCUUGGGUUCGGAAUAACUUCUGGAAACGGAAGCUAAUACCGGAUGAUGACGUAAGUCCAAAGAUUUAUCGCCCAAGGAUGAGCCCGCGUAGGAUUAGCUAGUUGGUGGGGUAAAGGCCCACCAAGGCGACGAUCCUUAGCUGGUCUGAGAGGAUGAUCAGCCACACUGGGACUGAGACACGGCCCAGACUCCUACGGGAGGCAGCAGUAGGGAAUAUUGGACAAUGGGCGAAAGCCUGAUCCAGCAAUGCCGCGUGAGUGAUGAAGGCCUUAGGGUUGUAAAGCUCUUUUACCCGGGAUGAUAAUGACAGUGCCGGGAGAAUAAGCUCCGGCUAACUCCGUG